CACACGCUCCCUUAGAUCCACCUUUGGGGUAUGUGUGCCAGAGUUGAGUUCCACUGGAGUAUCUGAUUAUUUAGAGCUGUAGUGGUUCCAGCUUGGUGAUUAUCCAGCAACUUGUGGUUGCACAGUCAAAGGUGCUUGAGUCAUUGGCGUGUGAGAGUAAUAAACCUGCUUAUUAGCCCACUGUUCUUAUGUUCAUGGCUUGUGUUAAUCGCUUGCCCUAGUUUAACAUCUGGACUUGGCUGGUAUGCGGACACU
This is a small nucleolar RNA of Protopterus annectens (West African lungfish), 255 nucleotides long. RefSeq annotates it as small nucleolar RNA SNORA53. Lineage: Eukaryota; Metazoa; Chordata; Ceratodontiformes; Protopteridae. The record is from RefSeq and is a predicted model, not a curated record. The transcript has a single exon.